CCUACGGGGGGCUGCAGUGGGGAAUAUUGGACAAUGGGGGGAACCCUGAUCCAGCCAUGCCGCGUGUGUGAAGAAGGCCCUCGGGUUGUAAAGCACUUUCAGUGAGGAAGAACGCCUGGUGGUUAAUACCCAUCAGGAAAGACAUCACUCACAGAAGAAGCACCGGCUAACUCCGUGCCAGCAGCCGCGGUAAUACGGAGGGUGCGAGCGUUAAUCGGAAUUACUGGGCGUAAAGCGCGCGUAGGUGGCUUGAUAAGCCGGUUGUGAAAGCCCCGGACUCAACCUGGGAACGGCAUCCGGAACUGUCAAGCUAGAGUGCAGGAGAGGAAGGUAGAAUUCCCGGUGUAGCGGUGAAAUGCGUAGAGAUCGGGAGGAAUACCAGUGGCGAAGGCGGCCUUCUGGACUGACACUGACACUGAGGUGCGAAAGCGUGGGUAGCAAACAGGAUUAGAUACCCUAGUAGUC
RNAcentral lists this ribosomal RNA (465 nucleotides) under Vreelandella stevensii. RNAcentral describes it as "partial 16S ribosomal RNA". It matches the Rfam family "Bacterial small subunit ribosomal RNA", at positions 338 to 795 of the family's 1533-position model. Lineage: Bacteria; Pseudomonadati; Pseudomonadota; Gammaproteobacteria; Oceanospirillales; Halomonadaceae. The record is from RNAcentral.